This 378-nucleotide unclassified non-coding RNA is filed under the name Hevea brasiliensis (rubber tree). Lineage: Eukaryota; Viridiplantae; Streptophyta; Magnoliopsida; Malpighiales; Euphorbiaceae. The record is from RNAcentral.
AAAAAAAUAAAACAAAUAUAUAUAAUAUACUUCCAGAUGUUGAGAAAACUCUAUUUAAAUAUUUCAGUUCGAGGGUAUAAAAAUUAGUUUAAAAGUUAAAAUUGACAUGCUUUAGUUAUAAGAACUACAAAUUACAAAAUAAAUAUUGAACUUUUUAAAAUUAUUUUUUCUGCCAUUGUUGAAAGAGUUUCAGAAAGAAGAAGAAAGACUAUGAUUUUGAGAGUUAAAACAUGUGUAUUUCGUUCAACUUCUACAGAUAUAUAUACACAGUAGUAUAUUCCUAUUAGACUUGGGAAUUGUAUUCUUAUUAUACGACUUAACAGAUAACUUAAGGAGAUAAGGGAUAUCUCAAUAAUUGUUGUAAAUCUAGAAUUAUAG